ACGGCGAGUGAAGCGGCAACAGCUCAAAUUUGAAAUCUGGCUCUUUUAGAGUCCGAGUUGUAAUUUGCAGAGGGCGCUUUGGCUUUGGCAGCGGUCCAAGUUCCUUGGAACAGGACGUCACAGAGGGUGAGAAUCCCGUACGUGGUCGCUGGCUAUUGCCGUGUAAAGCCCCUUCGACGAGUCGAGUUGUUUGGGAAUGCAGCUCUAAAUGGGAGGUACAUUUCUUCUAAAGCUAAAUAUUGGCCAGAGACCGAUAGCGCACAAGUAGAGUGAUCGAAAGAUGAAAAGCACUUUGGAAAGAGAGUCAAACAGCACGUGAAAUUGUUGAAAGGGAAGCGCUUGCAGCCAGACUUGCUUGCAGUUGCUCAUCCGGGCUUUUGCCCGGUGCACUCUUCUGUAGGCAGGCCAGCAUCAGUUUGGGCGGUAGGAUAAAGGUCUCUGUCACGUACCUCUCUUCGGGGAGGCCUUAUAGGGGAGGCGACAUACUACCAGCCUGGACUGAGGUCCGCGCAUCUGCUAGGAUGCUGGCGUAAUGGCUGUAAGCGGCCCGU
Molecule: ribosomal RNA, 551 nt
Filed under: Alternaria chlamydospora
Lineage: Eukaryota; Fungi; Ascomycota; Dothideomycetes; Pleosporales; Pleosporaceae
Description: partial large subunit ribosomal RNA
Rfam family: Eukaryotic large subunit ribosomal RNA
Source: RNAcentral